AUGUCCUGGAGCCUUGCUUUAUAUUUUCUCAUCUGUUUCUCAGGAACUUCAGCUACAAAAGAAAACACGGUUAAACAUGAGCUAAUUGUUAUCAUUGCUGAGGAAGGCGAUUCUGUCAAUAUGACAUGUGACUUUAACAAUCCAAAACUGAUAGGUGUAUAUUUGAAACGAAUCCUGGGAAAUCCUAUGAAUGUGAUAUAUGCUACAGCAUAUGGAAAAGACAAGACUGAAGCUCCCGAAUAUAAAAAUCGCACAGAAUAUUUUCAGCUGAACAACACAGUGAUGAUUACACUGCGACAGGUGAAGAAGAAUGAUAGUGAUGCAUAUGUGUGUGAGGGAGCCCUGCUAAGAAACAAUUUGCCUCAUACAAUGAAUAGCAGCAGUAUCAUUUUAGCAGUGAAAGAAAAGACAGAGUAUUCCUCAUCUCCCUGGAUGCUGUAUACCCUCAUCUUCCUGUCCUUGCUGGUAGUUUUUAUACUGGGAUGCUUUUCUCUCUCUCAUAUAAAUGUGAGUAUGCUAAUAGUGCUACCUCUGUUUGGUAAAUGAUACCUAUCUUGCAGUAUAGCAGAUUUGUUUUCUUCCAGUGGUGUUAUGAAAUGAGAAAUGUAUCUGUCUCUGGAAGUAUUUUAAAGCUAUGUCCAAAUUAUAAUAUUGAAGUUAGCUCUUUCUUAAAGAAAUCAGAUUCUUUUUCAUGUAAAUGGUCUCCAGGUCUCAAUGGCUAUUCUACACUAGAAAGUAAGCCAUUGCACGGCUAAUCUGGGGGCCAGGAGUUUUGCCCCUGAGAUGCUUCAGGGGCCAUACAUAUUAUCAAAAGAUGAGAAAAGAAAAAGAACUGGCUUGAAGUUACAUCUGGGGCCUUUUCACACUACACAGUUAUAGCACUAUGAUCCCAUUUUGAUCAUCCUAUGAACUAGCAGCCCAAGAGAGGCUUUUCUCUCUGUUUAGAAUCAGGUAAAGGGCAGUCCAGAGAGUGUGAAAUGAUCCAAAAGCCGAAAAUACAGUUUAAGGGAACCCUAGGACUACAGCCCCCAACUCCCAGCACUACCCCAUUUUAUGGACUGUAUAAGGCUCACACUAACUCUUUUAAGACAAAAAAGAGAGAAGACUAGUGAUUCCAAUCAAGAACAAACAUAUUGGUAAGCCUAGUGGACAGAAUUGUCCUUAUUUGACACAAAACCACCCCUGCUAAUAAAGGACAGUCAGAAAGUUGUUCCAUCCAAAAGGAGGUUCCUUUAUGUAUAAGGAUAUAAAAAUCACCGGCAGUCUGGUAAAGAUCUCUCCUGAGCAACACAUAUUAAUUGUGGUCUGUUUUCUACUUCCUUUUCCUUUAACAGGUCAAGAAAUACUGCAAAAAAGAAAAGGGGCAGGAAUUGCAAAAUAUAGUCUAUGAAGAUAUGACUUGCAGCUUGAGACCCAACACAAAGACUACAUCAAAUGUGUACAGUGCACAAUGAAUACUAUUGCUGAAGGCUUCUGGAAUUCCAAUUCAUUUCUCUAUUUGUUUUGAGAUUUGCAAUUCAUUUUGGGAGGUGUAUCCAAAUGUGUAUAAUUCAUGCAGUGGUUAGUAUAUUUAAUACAAGAGUAUUUUCACACCAUGAAAUUAUAGCACCUUGAUUUCACUUUGACAGCUGUGGUUCUGUCCAAUGGUAUCCUAUCCUAGCUGUUUGCAGAGGGUUAUUUAGGGUCCUCAGCCGGGUAUGUGGCUCUGAGCAAACCAAAGAGAUUGUGCAUUUCAUAUACAGCCAGUAUAAUUAAAAUGGAAUAAUUGUGCUAUAAUUACAUAGUGUGAAAAGUCCCUUUAUCUGUAUUGGCUGAUUAGAAUUUGAUGCUCAAAAUGUACACACUAAUGAGACUUUUAUGCUUCAAACUGAAUGGAGGUUCAAUAGAAGAGGGUCAAGAGAUCUUUCCUUGUAGUUAUAGACUGUUUUUAAAAAGUGAUACCAUUCUUAGGACACUCUGGGCCCUUCCAGACAGACCCUAUAUUCCAGGAUCAGAUCCCAGGUUUUCUGUUUAUCCCAGAUUAUCUGGCAAUGAGGAAUCAUAUAAUCCAUAGCAUGCAUUAUUGACCACAUUUAAUUUUGCAUUUAAGAGAGAAAGUGAAAUAGUUACUAUAGUUUUAAGGUGUAGAAUUCUUUCUGAUAAUUUAAACAACUUUGAUUUCAAACUGCAGUCAUCGUACUGGAAUGAGAUUAGAAACUAUUAAAUAUAGGAUAUGUUGUCAAAGGCUUUCAUGGCUGGAAUCACUGGGUUGCUGUGAGUUUUCUGGCCUGUAUGGCCAUGUUCCAGAAGCAUUCUCUCCUGACAUUUCACCUACAUCUAUGGCAGACAUCUUCAGAGGUUGUGGAAAACUCACAGCAACCCAGAUAUAGGAUAUUUACUGGGUUUAUCUAAUAAUGAUGAUAUGUUCAAAAUUUUGCUUAGAUGUUUAGGAGUUCUAGCUUUAUAAUUUUUCCUGUUGCAGACCAUUCUUUAUACAUUGCCUUGUAAUACUAGAUAAGACGGAGGCAACUGGAAUUGCAGUUAAAUGUAUAGACAUUGAUAUAUGUUACAGAGUUGUGCAGCUGUUUGUAAAUGGCUUGGCUAAACAAGCAGAGUGAUGCAUUGAGUUUUUGUUCAUGCAUGGCAGCCUUCAUAUAAUGUUGGAGCUAAUGUAAGAUUAUUUGUUUUGAUGAAGUAUGAGAAGUGAAAAAUAAAAUAUUACUUUUGAUGAAGCAAAGGAAAUGACUUCACUAUUAAAAGUGGUACAAAAUAUAGCAGUAUUUUAUAGUAAAUAUUGCCUGGUGGUGAUAUGUGAAAUGGGAUGCUGAGGAUGAUAUGGGCUGUGAACCAUAUGUAAGUGGUCUGCAUCCCACAAACACAGUGGAUUUUGUUUGUGUGGGAAAAGCACCAUAUUGUCCCCAAUGUAACAGGGUCUACUAGUGCUGGGAGUCUGCAAUUUCUCAGGCACAGGGGGAUGCUUAAAUUGUUUUGUAACUGUUGCACAGACUCUUUCCUAAGCUUUGCUGAAUAAGUUUACUAGGAUGCUUUUGGUGUUUCCAGGUGUGGAAGAAGCAAAUGUCUCAGAACUCCUAUUUUGUCUUUGUUCCAGAUGUUCAAAAUAUAAUCUACCUUCCUCCUUUGCAGUUGAAUGAAUGAGCUCUCAGGCCUAAACUUCACUGCCAUCUAAUUCAGUGUAACAAUUGUAUUAGCCUGGUGCAUCCACAUGACACACAUGCUAAUGUGAUUGAAAUCAUGGUAAGACAAUUUAGCUUGAUCCCAGGUUUUUUUUUAAAACAUCUAGAGAGAUCUGACUCAUUCAGGAGGAUUCAGACCUUUCCCAGUUUUGGGGCAGAGGAUAUUGAAAUUUUGGAUCUCCAUGCGGGAUCUGAGAUUGUGUUCCCACAGUUCUGGGAAUGGCGCAGCAAUAAACUUGGAAGGCUGGAGUUGGUCCACCCUUGCUUUUGUUGUCGUUGCGGUUGUUGAGUGCCUUCAAGUCAUUUCUAACUCAUAGCAACCCUAAGGUAAAUCUGUCAUGCUGUCAGGAUCCAGAACUCUGCCAGUAUGCAGGCAGAGCUUAACCAAGACAAACACCCGGCUUGUGUCAGCUAUUUUACUUAAAGCAGUAAACCUAAAGCACUUGGGUGAUUCAAGGUCUAAGUUCAAACAUACUCAGAUUUAUUUAUUUAUUUCGUGUCAAAAGCAUUGCAUAAUAAAUAAGUUUAAAAGUGAUGAAAUAAAGGAAAUCACAAGCAGCUAAAUAAUUUUAGACCAAAAGCGGGCAACAGCAACCGCAUUGUCCAUAGCUUUAAACAACUCCUCCUCCGUAUAUGAGGCAGGACAUUGUGGGCAAGCAUACAUAUGCGGAGUUGUUUGUUCUGCUCCACAGUCACACAAGGUGGAGGAUUCCUCCAGAUAAUGCCAUCUUGCCAGAUUGUCUUUUGAUCUGUCCACUCUGCUUCUCAGUCUGUUCAGGGACUCCCAAGUGGCCCAUUCUUGGUUUGCCCCUGGAGGAAGACCCUCAUGGGGGGGCAUCCAGUUGAGAUUGCCUGGUUUAGCUGCCCAGAGGGACACUCUUGCUGUUGCUGGAGGAACAUCAAAAGGAGUGGUGGUUCUCAUGAAGCCCUUCCUUGAUUUGAGUCUGGUGGGAGGAGGCUGAUAGCCAUGCAGUGGAUGGCUUUCACAAUGUUCGACCCUAUUUCUCUCACAGUUAGUAGUAACUUCCCAUCGCAUAUUUGUGGGGGGGGGGGCAAUGCCAGCUAACUUGUAGAGUUUAUCAACAGGUGUAGGUUUAAGGCAUCCUGUGAUUAUUCUGCAAGCUUAUUGCAUAACAAGCAGAUUUCAGACCAGGGAAAAACUGUACAGGUCAAAUUUUUCAUCUGACUGAGCAUAUUGAGGAAGGCUAUGAGAAUGGCUGCAUUACAGGAACAGUUUUUGUGG
This 4416-nucleotide long non-coding RNA is filed under the name Anolis carolinensis (green anole). Its description in RNAcentral is "lncRNA (ENSACAG00000041423.1)". Lineage: Eukaryota; Metazoa; Chordata; Lepidosauria; Squamata; Anolidae. The record is from RNAcentral.